RNAcentral lists this long non-coding RNA (221 nucleotides) under Elaeis guineensis (African oil palm). Its description in RNAcentral is "long non-coding RNA (EGUI_LNC051766)". Lineage: Eukaryota; Viridiplantae; Streptophyta; Magnoliopsida; Arecales; Arecaceae. The record is from RNAcentral.
AGGCACAUGUCUGACCUCAGUCAAUGUCCUCACAAUACCAUCAAACAUCUUGAUUUUGACAUUCUCAAUCCCGACUGUUCUGCACUCUGAGCUAUUCCCCAUGAGACAUGGCCACCAUCACACACCAUGUUGGUGUCAAACCACUUCCUGUGCAGACACAUAUGAUAGGAACAUGCUGAAUCAAGAAUCCAAGCAUCGACAGAAUCAAUACCUAAGGAGAC